AGAGGUGAAAUUCUAAGACAUCAAUCAGCAAUGACUGAAGAAAUGGAUUUAAACCUCCUUAUUUAGAGGAAGGAGAAGUCGUAACAAGGUUUUCGUAG
Molecule: ribosomal RNA, 98 nt
Filed under: Entamoeba sp. 2233/04
Lineage: Eukaryota; Evosea; Mastigamoebida; Endamoebidae
Description: partial 18S ribosomal RNA
Rfam family: Eukaryotic small subunit ribosomal RNA
Source: RNAcentral